Molecule: long non-coding RNA, 479 nt
Organism: Neofelis nebulosa (Clouded leopard)
Lineage: Eukaryota; Metazoa; Chordata; Mammalia; Carnivora; Felidae
Exons: 3
Source: RefSeq, a predicted model, not a curated record
CAUUUGAGGAAAGAACGCUGCCUUCCUUCAUCCUGGAAACCCUGAGGGCAGCAACAAGAUUGUUACCAGAAAUCUAUGAAGCACAUCAUGGAGCCAAUUGCUUCUAUUGGCAUGAAGGAAGAUGGUUGGAGUCGGGUGAUAACAGCCAGCAAAGUGUCCAAUAGUUCUGUCUUUGGAAGUGUUUCUGCCAAGAUUGAUAAUUUCAGAACUGAGUCUGGGAAGCAAACAAUCCAACAUCCAGAGAGAGUGAGCACUGCCCUGCUGUCAGCAUGGAGCUGGGCUUGAACUCACAAACCUUGAGCUCGUGACCUGAGUUGAAAUCAAGAGUUGGACGCUUAACCGACUGAGCCACCCAGGGACCCUAAGAAAAAUUCUUACAUGCCACUUACUAUUAUCUACAAUCAAAUUAUCUACAGAGGGAAAUAUGUUAGAUGCCUGUAUAAUUUUGAUAUUAGAAGAAAAACAUGCUCAUUUUAUUA